This 1046-nucleotide ribosomal RNA is filed under the name uncultured bacterium. RNAcentral's name for it is "bacterial SSU rRNA". It matches the Rfam family "Bacterial small subunit ribosomal RNA", at positions 335 to 1397 of the family's 1533-position model. The record is from RNAcentral.
ACUCCUACGGGAGGCAGCAGUGGGGAAUUUUCCGCAAUGGGCGCAAGCCUGACGGAGCAAGACCGCGUGAGGGAGGAAGGCUCUUGGGUUGUAAACCUCUUUUAUCAGGGAAGAAGAUCUGACGGUACCUGAUGAAUCAGCAUCGGCUAACUCCGUGCCAGCAGCCGCGGUAAUACGGAGGAUGCAGGCGUUAUCCGGAUUUAUUGGGCGUAAAGCGUCCGCAGGUGGUUUUUCAAGUCUGCUGUUAAAGCGCAGAGCUUAACUCUGUAACGGCGGUGGAAACUGAGAGACUAGAGUAUGGUAGGGGUUGCGGGAAUUCCCAGUGUAGCGGUGAAAUGCGUAGAUAUUGGGAAGAACACCAGCGGCGAAAGCGCGCAACUGGGCCAUUACUGACACUCAUGGACGAAAGCUAGGGGAGCGAAAGGGAUUAGAUACCCCUGUAGUCCUAGCUGUAAACGAUGGGUACUAGGUGUUGACCGUAUCGACCCGGUCAGUGCCGUAGCUAACGCGUUAAGUACCCCGCCUGGGGAGUAUGCACGCAAGUGUGAAACUCAAAGGAAUUGACGGGGGCCCGCACAAGCGGUGGAGUAUGUGGUUUAAUUCGAUGCAACGCGAAGAACCUUACCAGGGCUUGACAUGUCGCGAAUCUCGGUGAAAGUCGAGAGUGCCUUCGGGAGCGCGAACACAGGUGGUGCAUGGCUGUCGUCAGCUCGUGUCGCGAGAUGUUGGGUUAAGUCCCGCAACGAGCGCAACCCUCGUUUUUAGUUGCCAGCAUUUAGUUGGGCACUCUAGAGAGACUGCCGGUGACAAACCGGAGGAAGGUGGGGAUGACGUCAAGUCAGCAUGCCCCUUACGUCCUGGGCUACACACGUACUGCAAUGCUUCGGACAAAGGGUUGCGAGCUAGCGAUAGCAAGCUAAUCCCGUAAACCGAGGCUCAGUUCAGAUUGCAGGCUGCAACUCGCCUGCAUGAAGGAGGAAUCGCUAGUAAUCCCAGGUCAGCAUACUGGGGUGAAUACGUUCCCGGGCCUUGUACACACCGCCCGU